This 1531-nucleotide ribosomal RNA is filed under the name metagenome. RNAcentral's name for it is "bacterial LSU rRNA". It matches the Rfam family "Bacterial large subunit ribosomal RNA", at positions 1395 to 2925 of the family's 2925-position model. The record is from RNAcentral.
GACGAGGCCGAAGGGCGUAGUCGAUGCAAAGCCGGUUAAUAUUCCGGCACCACUAGAAACCGUUAAUCUGAUAGGAUAACCCAGGUAGCCAAGGUCGGGGAAGGCGUUAGCUGCCUCCUCCAAAUGCAAACGCCGUUGAAGGCUGGUGAAAACAGCCCGAGGCCGAAGCAUGAGUGCGAUCCGAGUGAAAUCGGAGAAGCGAUCACAGCUAAACUGGCAAGAAAAGUCCUGCAGGUAGGCCAAUAGUGCCCGUACCCCAAACUGACACUGGUAUGCGAGGCGAGUAGCCUAAGGGGCUCGAGAUAACUCUCGUGAAGGAACUCGGCAAAUUUCUCCGUAACUUCGGGAGAAGGAGCGCCUGCGUAGGGGUGUUAAAGCCCUGAAAGGCAGCAUAAAAAUGGUCCCUGGAACUGUUUAUCAAAAACACAGGACUGCGCAAAGUCUGAAAGACGACGUAUGCAGUCUGACGCCUGCUCUGUGCCGGAAGGUUAAGGGAAUUUGUCAGGGGGUUCGCCUCCAAAGCAAAGAACCGAAGCCCCGGUUAACGGCGGCCGUAACAAUGACGGUCCUAAGGUAGCAAAAUUCCUUGUCGGGUAAGUUCCGACCUGCAUGAAUGGCGUAAUAACAGGGGUACUGUCUCCACGAGAGGCUCGGCGAAACUGUAGCAGUGGUGAAGAUGCCACUUACCCGCGACUAGACGGAAAGACCCUGUGGACCUUUACUGUACUCUACUAUUGGGUUUUUGUGCUCAUUGCGUAGGAUAGGUGGGAGACGUUGAAGUUCCGGUUUUGGCCGGAAUGGAGUCACCGGUGAAAUACCACCCUUUGUGUACGAAAAUUCUAACUCCGAUCCCGUAAGCCGGGCGGAGGACCGUGGUAGACGGGCAGUUUGACUGGGGCGGUCCCCUCCCAAAGAGUAACGGAGGGGCUCUAAGGCAUGCUCAGCACGGUUGGCAAUCGUGCGUCGAGUGCAAUGGCAUAAGCAUGCUUAACUGCGAGAGAAAAACCUCAAGCAGAGACGAAAGUCGGACAUAGUGAUCCGGCGGUGCAGUGUGGAAUGGCCGUCGCUCAACUGAUAAAAGGUACCCCGGGGAUAACAGGCUGAUCUCCCCCAAGAGUCCAUAUCGACGGGGAGGUUUGGCACCUCGAUGUCGACUCAUCGCAUCCUGGGGCUGCAAUCGGUCCCAAGGGUUGGGCUGUUCGCCCAUUAAAGCGGUACGUGAGUUGGGUUCAGACCGACGUGAGUCAGGUCGGUCCCUAUCUGUCGUGGGCGCAGGAAUUUUGAGGAAAAACAACUCUAGUACGAGAGGAUUGAGUUGUACACACCCCUGGUGUUCCAGUUGUGCUGCUAAGCACACCGCUGGGUAGCUAUGUGUGGACCGGAUAAACGCUGAAAGCAUAUAAGCGUGAAGCCUCUUCCAAGACUUGAAUUCCCCAUCAGACUUCUGGUAGACUACCAGAUUGAUAGGCCGGAUGUGUAAGCUGGGUAACCAGUAAGCUUACCGGUACUAAUUGUCGAUCGACUUGACCGC